GCUUACGGCCAUACCACCCUGAGAAAGCCCAAUCUCGUCUGAUCUUGGAAGCUAAGCAGGGCCCGGGCCUAGUUAGUACUUGGAUGGG
Non-coding RNA from Tetraodon nigroviridis (spotted green pufferfish), 88 nucleotides. The record is from Rfam. NCBI's taxonomy places the organism in Eukaryota, Metazoa, Chordata, Actinopteri, Tetraodontiformes, Tetraodontidae.